GUAUUUCAAGGGUAAUGUUUAUACAAAUGCUGGCAGCUCUGUUGAAGAGCUUUUGAUAGGUUGAUGUCACUGUGGGCUAGACUGGAAGCUCUGCAGCAAAGUAGUAGUGUCCUGAAAUGUGAGGCUGCAAGAGCUCUCCCUUUGCCUUGUCCUCGUGCUGGUUUGUAUUGGUGCAAAUGCAGCAUUUUAAAAGUCUUUGAAUGUUGGCAGUGUUCUUUUAAUUGAAGAAUCUACUCUGAAGUCCUUACAGUGGUCUGCAUAUGAGAUAGGAAUGACAUGUUGUACCUAGGUGGGAAGAAAAACAGCUGUGGUGCAGGGUAGAAUGUGACAGAGAAGGGAGGGAUGUUGCAUUUCAAUUCUUUGACAUGGGCAAAAGAAAUUGUUCAUUUUCAGAUACAUGAAAAAUAGGAUUUUAAACAAUAUUUCUUACUUUAAGUAGAAACUCUAUUUACAGCAUCCUCUUUGAACUGCUGCUUGGAUGUUUGUUUCUGGAGAAUGUGCAGUGAGUUUCCCAACUGCUUGGCAAGGGCAGGGGCCGGUUAAAAAUUAACUAGAAGCUGAGGUAAAUCACAUACAAAUAGCCCAGGGAGUGUGGUGAAUUCAUCAGUGUCUGAUGUACUUGCUUGUCUCACAGCUGCCCAAGUUCCUCUGUAAAGUGUUUUGGGUUUCUUGGCUUUGACAUGACCUGUCCAGCAGGAGAGAAUGUCAGAUGUAUUUCUUUGAGCAGCAUUUUAAUAUCUCACCUGACUCUGGUGAUGAAAAAGGGAUGAGUAAAAAAGGUCCAGGCUUCUGCUAGUCGAAGACCUGUUAAUAAAGUUUCUCCCCUUCAAUAAUGCUGGACAGCAGAAGCUUUUAAUUGUGUUACUGCUCUGAACUAGCUGCUGUUGCAGGUUAGGCUGGUUGACCUGAGUCUCUGUGGCUCAGUGUCAAGAGGACAGCAUGUGGCAGGAGAAUUUGUGAGUUCAAGUGAAUGGCACUUGCGUACUCUGGGUGCACAAUAUGAGCAUUUGCUUCCUUCUUGAAUCUGUCCUGUGGGUGAGUUUACUCACCUUUCUUACAGCAGUAUGAAAAGGGUGUGGAGAGGUGCACAAAGAACAUUUCUACUCAUCCUUUGAAUGUGUUCACGGUGCUCACAAGGAGCCUGGCACUCUCAGGGGAUGGUGGACAAGGCUUGAGACCACUGGAGCAGCCUGUGCCUGUUCUGCUGCAGCUCUGUGCAGUUCCCUUAUGAGUGCAGGAUGUUUCUCUUCCCCAAAGGGGAGUUGUUGUCACUGAAACAUGAAGCAGGGGUUGUCUGUAUUGAGUGUCAGGACAGAGCCAUCAUUCCAAGGAUAUUUUUAAUAGCAAGGCUUGAAAAUCCCCCUCACAUAAUAUUUUGCAUGCAGCAGGAUUACCUUGUAGUUGCUGUUGGCAGCCUGAUAUGGUUUGGAGAUGCUGUGUUCCCAGGCUGUUCCAGGCAGACUGGCUGUUGGAAAACUCACAAGUCUUUGUCAGUUCAGGGCCAGAAAUGGAGUCCAGCUGUUCUGCAGUUGUGAACUGCUGAGUGCAAGUUGCAGGAUUUCUUGCAUUCCUCAUCUGCACCUCCUGUAGUUUCAUGUGUAGCUGCUUCUUGCAGUGUCACAGUUCCAAUCUGUCUGCUGCAUGCUCAGGGUAUUGCCUUCUUUGGGGGGAUGUGUGUGGUUUGUUACCUGCAGACUCAGAUGCAGUUGCAGCACGUGGGAUUUCAGCUGGAGCAGCAAGUGCAGACCAUGGUCCCUAGAGACAGAAUGGGUGUCCUCUGGUGAGGGUCUCUCUUUAGGGAGAAAUCAGACUUCCAUAUCAGGGAAUGAGAAGCUCCUUACCUUCAUUAGAGCACAUGGAAGUUUGAAUUUGUCCAGAGCUGAUACCUCUGGCAAAGCUUGAAAGAAAAAUGAAGCGAGUUCCACGCAUUAGGGAUCACCUGCUCACAGCCAGCCACAGGGAGAGGUAGUCAUCAUUUGUGUUUGCUGCAAUGCCAAGCACACUCUUUGGAUGAAGUGGUACCCUGGGAGGGGAUGGCUUAAUGAAAGAUGAAGAUGAAGAGUUAUGAAGAACUUGUGUGAGAAGUUGUGGACUCUAGCUUUGUGGCCAAGCUGUAGUUGAAUCCUUAAAAUUCCCAUCUACCUCUCUAAGUGCCAGUGUAAUCUGAUCAAAGGCCAUAUGGUGAUGAAGGCAUUCCUUGAUGUACCAUGUACUUUCUCUGCCUGUUUUUUGUAUUAAUGUAAUACUUUUCCAAGCCUGUCACAUAUCUUUAUUUGGCAAGCAAGUUACUCAAAAAAAACCUGGCAGAGCAGUUCACAGUGAAUUUCAUAGUGAGUGUGCCAGGGCUGUUUGCUAAUACACAGAUGAGCUGCCAGAAUGCUGAGGUCUCCUAACCCUGCACAAAACUGCCUGAUGUACCUUGUGAGUAAUUAAACAUCACUCAGUUCUAAGAGGCAACCUUCAGUAGUAGACUUCACCCAACUAUAAUGUCUUUAAAAUCAGGAUGGAACCAGUGGCAUAUGUCAGGAGAGUGAAUUAAUUGCUCACAGGUUAAUGACCCCUCUAACUAUGCAGUUCCUGAUUCCUGUGUAAAUUGAUGUGCACCAUAGAGUUGUGGACCUUAUUACCAGUGAGCAGUUCCAGUGGCUUCAAACCCUGUCUAUUCACAAACAGCUAAAGGAAUCCCCUAAACUAUUAGCAGUAAUCAUGCAUGUUUGAGAGAGAACAUUCAACUCUGGGACAUGAAACUGAAGAGCUCCAACAACUUUUCUCCUCCAACUGAUCCAAGAAAUUGAGGUAAGAUAGCAACAUUCUUUGAGCCAGCUCAGAAAUUCAGAGAGAUGAAAGUCAGUGUCUCUCUUGGACACCCCUCUGAAUCCCCUUAAUCAAUUUCUUGCAGUUAUUUUCCUAAUUUAAAACAUAACAGGCACUGGUCACAACUUAUUUAGAUCUCUACUCAUAUUGUGCUGGAUGCCAGGAUGGUCUUUGCUAAGGAUUCUGGUGGUGUCAUCACCAGCUGAGGUGGCACACAUUACAUGAGCUCCCAAACAAGGAGCUUUGUCUUUCCAGGUGUUUGCCAAACUCAAAAUGAAUACAUCAAGAGUAUUCAGGAUGAGUCUGAAAUGAGAACAUGGGAAAUGCAUGGCAAGUAAAACCUAGGAGAAAAGUGUGACAGAGGACUAUUCCUGGCCUGAAAAGAAGUUGCAGGUUUACACCAACGCGUUGUUCAACUUCUUUUUUUUGUUUUUAAUUGAUGUGAAAAAUCUGAAGUCAUAAAACACUGUGUGACUACAGGAUGUCAGGAUAAAACAACAGAAGAACCUCAGGCCAUAUUUCCAUCCCUUUCUUGAGGGUCAUAUGGAAAGGGCAUCCUGGCUGAGGUGUGUGGCUGGAAGGAGCUGCCUGAAAAGCACCUGGAGAGCAAGAACUGGAGAAGGAUCCUCACAACAGAACCUCUGGGUCACCUCACCUUGUCUGUUCAAAAGGUGGAGAGAAAAACAACACCCAGAGUCACAGCACAACCAGCUUGGGAGGUGAUUGACCUACAGCCACAGCAGCUCCCCCAGAGCUCAAACACACUGCUGAACUCCUGUCUCAGCCUGCAGCUGUCACAAGGCUUGACAAGGCCAUGUUUUAUUGUAGCAGUGAAAUGCACUGAUGAAACAGAGGCCUGAAUUGCCCCCCUGUCACCUGAGUUAUCGCUGUCUACUUCUUGAAUUAAUCUGAAUUAAUUCAGAUUCUGGGUUCUAGGGACCAUAGGAACCAUUGUACAAAUGGCAGAAAACUCUGACAGUCUUGCAGCAAUAGGGGGUUUCAUUUUAACCAGGGAAUCUUAAUCCCAGAAAGUUGUAGUAAUAUGAUGAACCAGACUAAAAUGUGUUAAUCUGAUAUUCCUUGGCAUCUAACAGCAGUUUGUGCCACUUGAAUCAGAGUGAGGAAUGUUGGUAGCUGCUCCUUCUUGUAAAAUGGACAUCUAAUAUUGCAGAAGCUCUUAAAUUACUUGUGAGACUUUUCUUAAAGUUAGGUUGAAAACUGUCAUUCUUCCUUCUGAACAAUAAAUAUAGUGGUCUCUUCCUAUUAUAGUGAAAUGUAUUUUGAUUUUUGAAACUGGUAAUAAGAGCUGUUUCACUCUGGUAUUGUCAUCUUUUGUUUCAUUUCACUGCAAUGAAAAUUGAGACUUUCAAUCUAGAAAUGAAAACAAGAUUCCAAAUCCGUAGCAAGUAACAGUCUCUUUUACUGAUUAUUUAAAAUAAGGACAAGGUAUUUCAACUAUUCACAGAUAUUUCUGACAUAUCACAAAGUGAUAUAAGAGAAAAAGAUCACAAUCAUAUUUGAAGCAAAACAGUUUAAAAUUUAAUGUUUACAAACACAUUGCUUUUUUCCUUUUCAAAAUGUUUGCUGAUACAGUUUUGCAGGAGGCUCUCUGUUUGGUCACAUACAUUUCUGCUAUAGACACCGUGCUUUGUCCUAGGGGAUGAAUGGGAAAAAAAAUGUUCAGACUGGUACUUUGUCAGAAACAGGGAUUUGAAAUAUGAUGUCUACUGGU
This is a long non-coding RNA of Parus major (Great Tit), 4546 nucleotides long. RefSeq lists it as uncharacterized. The record is from RefSeq and is a predicted model, not a curated record. The transcript has 3 exons. Lineage: Eukaryota; Metazoa; Chordata; Aves; Passeriformes; Paridae.